GUCACUCUCACUCUCUCUCUCUCUGAAAACCUCCCCCCCCCUCCCCCCUCUCUCUGAAACCCCUUUUCAUCUCUGUCAUCGCCAUUGGAAGAUUGAUGCAGGGGUACCGUAGACAAUGGAAACGAUUGUUCACGGCUAGGAUCGAUCCUCACCUCGAAGGGCGUGGGACAUCUUGAUCAACCGAGGUAUCGGCUGCAGGUCAUGCGUUAGUUGGUGGAAACAGUUCUAAAUAGUCAUGGCCACGGAAUUGAGGAUGCCAUUGAGAGUCUCAAUACACUUUACCUUGGUGAUGUCUCUGCAAAAAAUGAAUCUUCGGGCCAUGAUUCUAUGGUCAUUGCAAACAGCAAUGCGGUUCAAGGUCAUGAUAAUACUCAAACAUCUGAGCAGAAGGUUAAAGCGACACAUAAUGACAAUUCACAUGUCAAAUUUGGUGUCCCUGAAAAUGGGUCAUCUUGGGUGGAUAUUUUUAUACAAGAGAUGAUGAAUUCAUCAGCUCUUCAUGAUGCACGUGUUCGUGCGAUGAGAAUGUUGGAGGCUUUUGAAAGGAGUGUAAUUGGUAACUACAGGCAAUCAGAGGAGCAUGAAAUCGCUUCACUGAAAGAGCAAUGGCAGAUCUUGCUAAGGGACAACCAGAUCCUGAAAAGAGCUGUUGCCAUUCAACACGAGAGGAAUUUGGAACAGGAGGACAAGGUGAAGGAAGUGCAACAGCUGAAACAUGUGAUCGGCCAGUACCAAGAACAAGUCCGGACUUUGGAGGAAGGGAUUAUGAGACAAGAAACUACAGUUUUGAGUGAGUGAACCAAGCUAUGGAUGAACAGCUUGCAACGUGUUAGAUCUUUGUGGCAAACAGAUGGUACUCUUAUGCUGGAUGUGUUUUGCCAUAGACUGAGUGCUCAGAAAGACAGGAGCAUUUGACACAUCAUCCACAGUCCCUCAAAUUGCUAAGUUGGUGGGAUUUUCAAGUUCUAUGAAUUGGUUUGGUCGUCUAUAUGCGUAUUCUGAUUUUUAGUCACUUUAGUGCAUGCUUGCUCAAGGCCCAAUAAUAUGUUUCUUCUUGAUAGUUGGCUCAAGGCCACCAAUGAACAGCUCAGUUGCUUGCAAUUCACACAGAACUUCCAUACAGGUAUUGCUCUCUGUGCAUUCUAUAAUUUCAAUCUAGAUUAGUUCCAUCUUUUAUUUCUGCAACUGUUGGAAUAUGCAUUGAGGAAUUAGACACCAUAGCCAUGUGGGUCAAUUUUCUUGAAAUUUGGAUCAUUCAUCAUGCAGUCCUCAUUUUGGGUGAGUCAGCCCACAAUAUUUCCCUGGUUUCACAAUCUUAACAGCGUGCAAAUCCUUGGAGAAAUAUGAACAUUCACUUGGGACUGUCAAUGGGUCGGGUACAGACGUGGGAUCCUACAGUACCAGUAGGCUAACCACAUUCAGGUUUUUCCAGAGCUGGGUCCUUUUGGGUCCUACACAUGUGACCCGUAGGCUAACUGCAUUCAGGUCUUGCCAGAGCUGGGUCCUUUUGGGUCCUACACAUUUGCCACUUCGGUACAUGUUUGGUGUAUAAAUGGGCUCUCUCACAUGUGUGUGGCUUAGGAAACCUUAUUCCAUUUCUAAGAUCAUCAAAAUGUAUUAAAAAUCUGAGUGUUAGUGUAAAAAAUUAACUGGACCCAACCCGGACUCAACUUUAACAGGGUCCUUUACAUGUACCCAACCGAAAUCGACUAGACCCGAUUUUUAACCGCCCAACCAUUUCCUAGCAUGUCCAAAUGAUGGGACCUGAACAGAUCAAAACUAGGUUGGGUCCAUUGGGUACCCAUUGACAGCCCUACAUCCAAUCAGUUGUAUUUUUGGGUUUGAGUCAUCCUUUGAUAGUCCAAUCUCUAUGAGGUAUUUGCUAGUCUAUAGGUUUAUUCUUUCUUCUUCAAUGGUUUUUCUUUCUAAUUUCCACAUCUCUAGGAUUAUCUAGGAAAACACUGAUGAUGGGGUUUUUCUAGGCUUCCUUAAAAUUAUGGGGGUUUUCUAGUCAAUUUAAGUCAUAGAUCUUUGUGUGGCAUUCCGUCUGUGGUCGCGAGGGGAUCCAGGGAUCUCGGGUUUUCAUGUACAGGAGGAAAGAAGGGCCCGCGGCAAUAUAUGCUCGCAAGAGGGGUGAGCGACAACCCUGUUAGGUUUUGCUUUUCCCAUUAGAGGUGGUGAGGGCUUUGUUGUUUCCACUACCCAAGCUAAACCUGGCCAGACCUCAAGGACAGAGGCUUACCACGAGCUGGAGUGUGUGAGAAUCGAACAGUGCCAUUACAUAAUGCACCUGAUGGUUCCCAAAAGGGGGAAGACUUGUCCGAUGGGUAAGGGGUCGUUCGGGAGCGUGUAUUUGAUAUCCUUUGGCAGCUGCCAUGGAAUCCAUGAGAAUUUGAAUCACCAAUUGUCUGUCAAGCUAGAAUCCACUUGAAUCCAUGUGAAGGGUUGUUUGAGAGUGUGUAUUUGAUAUGCAUUAGCAAUUACCAUAGAAUCGAUGAGAAUUGGAAUCACCAGUUGUGUUUGGCAGCCUAUAUUUGAAAGAAAGUGAGAGAGACGACUAUAAUUAGUAGUGUGCGUGCCUGCAAUCUGGUAAUCGGAAUCACCAAGUUGUGUUUGGCAGCCUAUGUUUGGAAGAGAGAGUGAGAGACAACUAUAAUCGAUAGUGUGUGUAACCGUUCAUAUUACUAAGUUCUUUUUAAGUUAUCAAAUGCCAUGACUAUUUCAUGUUGUGAGGACUACUUUGGCUCUGGAUCUGCCUCAUUUUUUGGAUCAUGCCCUAAAAUGUGCUGGUAGAAAAGAUGGACAGCGUGGAUUAGACAUACGUCACGGUGGGUCCCAUGGAUUUUUCGGCCGCUUGAUUUCAUGCAUUCAAUCAUGAAAACUGAUGUAUAAUUAAGCAUGCAUUUUCCUUCUAAACUGUCUUUGACAAGUCAUAAUUGUUUAUUUACCACUAUUGACGUUGGUAAAUAAAAAAUCAAACACCCCCUAUUAGUAUUGUACCAUGUUUGCUAUAUUGGUGUAUUUUGCACAUGAAAGUCAGUUUCAUGUA
RNA transcript from Magnolia sinica, 3049 nucleotides. RefSeq lists it as uncharacterized. The transcript has 8 exons. Lineage: Eukaryota; Viridiplantae; Streptophyta; Magnoliopsida; Magnoliales; Magnoliaceae. The record is from RefSeq and is a predicted model, not a curated record.